Molecule: ribosomal RNA, 498 nt
Filed under: uncultured bacterium
Lineage: Bacteria
Description: partial 16S ribosomal RNA
Rfam family: Bacterial small subunit ribosomal RNA
Source: RNAcentral
AUUGAACGCUGGCGGCAUGCUUUACACAUGCAAGUCGAACGGCAGCGCGGGGCAACCUGGCGGCGAGUGGCGAACGUGUGAGUAAUAUAUCGAAACGUACCCAGAAGUGGGGGAUAACGUAGCUAAAGUUACGCUAAUACCGCAUACGAUCUACGGAUGAAAGUGGGGGACCUUCGGCCCUCAUUCUUGUGGAGCGGCCGAUAUCUGAUUAGCUAGUUGGUAGGGUAGAGUCCUACCAAGGCGACGCUCAGUAGCUGGUCUGAGAAGCCGACCAGCCACACUGGGACUGAGACAUGGCCCAGACUGCUACGGGAGGCAGCAGUGGGGAAUUGUGGACAAUGGGCGCAAGCCUGAGUCAGCAAUGACGCGUGAGUGAAGAAGGCCUUCGGGUUGUACAGCUAUUUUGUUAGGGAAGAAACGGCGAUUUCUAAUAAAGAUUGCUAAUGACGGUACCUGAAGAAUAAGCACCGGCUAACUACGUGCCAGCCGCCGCGGUAA